Molecule: ribosomal RNA, 466 nt
Filed under: uncultured Pelotomaculum sp.
Lineage: Bacteria; Bacillati; Bacillota; Clostridia; Eubacteriales; Desulfotomaculaceae
Description: bacterial SSU rRNA
Rfam family: Bacterial small subunit ribosomal RNA
Source: RNAcentral
GGGGCCCGCACAGCGGUGGAGCAUGUGGUUUAAUUCGACGCAACGCGAAGAACCCUACCAGGGCUUGACAUCCCCUGACCGCGUAUGAAAGUACGUUUUCACCUCGGGUGACAGGGAGACAGGUGGUGCAUGGUUGUCGUCAGCUCGUGUCGUGAGAUGUUGGGUUAAGUCCCGCAACGAGCGCAACCCCUACGUUUAGUUGCUAACGCGUGAAGGCGAGCACUCUAGACGAACUGCCGUUGACAAAACGGAGGAAGUGGGGAUGACGUCAAAUCAUCAUGCCCCUUAUGUUCUGGGCUACACACGUGCUACAAUGGCCGGUACAGACGGACGCAAAGCCGCGAGGUGGAGCAAAUCCUAAAAAGCCGGUCUCAGUUCGGAUUGCAGGCUGCAAUUCGCCUGCAUGAAGUCGGAAUCGCUAGUAAUCGCAGGUCAGCAUACUGCGGUGAAUACGUUCCCGGGCCUU